UAACAUCUGACCAAAUGUUUACAGCUGUACCCAUCUCACCAGUUCCAGCUCUGAAUGAUUUUCUAACAUGCCAGACUGUUGAUGAUUUACCAUCUUCUGUGGAGAGUAUCUGGAAAAGGAGACUGGAGCAGGUUCACCAGAGAAAUGAGGAGUUAGCACUUUCUAGUGCUACUGUUCAUGCCAGCCUACCUGUACCUGUACUUGCACA
Molecule: long non-coding RNA, 208 nt
Organism: Mytilus trossulus (common blue mussel)
Lineage: Eukaryota; Metazoa; Mollusca; Bivalvia; Mytilida; Mytilidae
Exons: 2
Source: RefSeq, a predicted model, not a curated record